ACGAGUGGCGGACGGGUGAGUAAUGUCUGGGAAACUGCCUGAUGGAGGGGGAUAACUACUGGAAACGGUAGCUAAUACCGCAUAAUGUCGCAAGACCAAAGAGGGGGACCUUCGGGCCUCUUGCCAUCGGAUGUGCCCAGAUGGGAUUAGCUAGUAGGUGGGGUAACGGCUCACCUAGGCGACGAUCCCUAGCUGGUCUGAGAGGAUGACCAGCCACACUGGAACUGAGACACGGUCCAGACUCCUACGGGAGGCAGCAGUGGGGAAUAUUGCACAAUGGGCGCAAGCCUGAUGCAGCCAUGCCGCGUGUAUGAAGAAGGCCUUCGGGUUGUAAAGUACUUUCAGCGGGGAGGAAGGCGGUGAGGUUAAUAACCUCAUCGAUUGACGUUACCCGCAGAAGAAGCACCGGCUAACUCCGUGCCAGCAGCCGCGGUAAUACGGAGGGUGCAAGCGUUAAUCGGAAUUACUGGGCGUAAAGCGCACGCAGGCGGUCUGUCAAGUCGGAUGUGAAAUCCCCGGGCUCAACCUGGGAACUGCAUUCGAAACUGGCAGGCUAGAGUCUUGUAGAGGGGGGUAG
RNAcentral lists this ribosomal RNA (577 nucleotides) under uncultured Pseudomonadota bacterium. RNAcentral describes it as "bacterial SSU rRNA". It matches the Rfam family "Bacterial small subunit ribosomal RNA", at positions 91 to 664 of the family's 1533-position model. The record is from RNAcentral. Lineage: Bacteria; Pseudomonadati; Pseudomonadota.